UACGUAGGGAGCAAGCGUUGUCCGGAAUCAUUGGGCGUAAAGCGCGCGUAGGUGGCCCAGUAAGUCCGCUCUGAAAGUCAGAGGCUCAACCUUUGAAAGCGGGUGGAUACUGCUGGGCUAGAGUUCGGAAGAGGCGAGUGGAAUUCCCGGUGUAGCGGUGAAAUGCGCAGAUAUCGGGAGGAACACCUAUGGCGAAGGCAGCUCGCUGGGACGUUACUGACGCUGAGACGCGAAAGCGUGGGGAGCAAACAGG
This 253-nucleotide ribosomal RNA is filed under the name uncultured bacterium. RNAcentral describes it as "partial 16S ribosomal RNA". It matches the Rfam family "Bacterial small subunit ribosomal RNA", at positions 524 to 776 of the family's 1533-position model. The record is from RNAcentral.